AGUGAACGCUGGCGGUAGGCCUAACACAUGCAAGUCGAACGGCAGCACAGUAAGAGCUUGCUCUUACGGGUGGCGAGUGGCGGACGGGUGAGGAAUACAUCGGAAUCUACUUUUUCGUGGGGGAUAACGAAGGGAAACUUACGCUAAUACCGCAUACGACCUACGGGUGAAAGCAGGGGAUCUUCGGACCUUGCGCGAUUGAAUGAGCCGAUGUCGGAUUAGCUAGUUGGCGGGGUAAAGGCCCACCAAGGCGACGAUCCGUAGCUGGUCUGAGAGGAUGAUCAGCCACACUGGAACUGAGACACGGUCCAGACUCCUACGGGAGGCAGCAGUGGGGAAUAUUGGACAAUGGGCGCAAGCCUGAUCCAGCCAUACCGCGUGGGUGAAGAAGGCCUUCGGGUUGUAAAGCCCUUUUGUUGGGAAAGAAAAGCAGCAGGUUAAGACCCCGCUGUUCUGACGGUACCCAAAGAAUAAGCACCGGCUAACUUCGUG
This 492-nucleotide ribosomal RNA is filed under the name uncultured bacterium. RNAcentral's name for it is "partial 16S ribosomal RNA". It matches the Rfam family "Bacterial small subunit ribosomal RNA", at positions 29 to 507 of the family's 1533-position model. The record is from RNAcentral.